RNAcentral lists this long non-coding RNA (1602 nucleotides) under Olea europaea subsp. europaea. The record is from RNAcentral. Lineage: Eukaryota; Viridiplantae; Streptophyta; Magnoliopsida; Lamiales; Oleaceae.
AUUCAAUGUAUGAAAGCUGUGAAUUAAAAAUCAACUUCAAGCAACAGUUGGCAGCAUUAUGAUGAUUCAAAUACGGCUGCAAAUACAGAUUAACCAGAUGCAAAUGAUGAGAAAGAUCACCUAUUAUCUUGUUGUAAUUGUAUAGAUUAGAAUUAGAUUACUUCAUGUUCUCUAUGAAAGGAAGGUGUGUAUGUAGUGUCAACAUAUGCAGAGGGAGUGUAAAGAAAAUUUCUACAGAGAGAGAGUGUGUGUAUGCUGUAGCAGCUCAUUUGUAAUCUCCCAAAUUUUAUGAGUAAAAUUUCAUAUUUCUCCUAUCUAUUUCCUUCUACACCCAACAUUUUCUCUUCAAUCUCUUCAAAUCAUCUGUUCCCAGGCAAAUUUCUUCGAAACUAUGUUCUUCAAAUUACUUAUCAUUGCUCAUGCAUUUUUAUAGAUCUGUGAAAUCGGUUGAGAAGCCUUCACCUGUUAAUUCUCCAAUCGAUCAGCAGCAUCAUAUGACAAUGGGUCAGGCUUCAAUUUUCUCCAGUUAAUUCUCCAAUCGAUCCAAUUUUUCCCUAUAUCGUCCACUAGUGGAGGCUGCCCAUCCAACAGUUUAUGUUUGUACUUCCUUUUUAAUUCUAUUGAAUGCCAAUUGUUCUUGACAUUUACCGUGUGUUGAGUUCUAUUCGGGAACAACGAUUGCGCUGCUUGCCCCACAAACUGUGCUAGUAGCCGCUCUGUGAGAGAUGAUCCAAAUUAUGAUGCUUCAUUGCUGCUCUAUAUACAGACAUUGUGAGGAAAAGGUAUUAUUGGAGCAACAGUGUCCCUUCUUCUAGGCAAUAUUUUAUUCAAUUUGGUUCAAAUGAAACACUUGUCUUAUCACUAUUUUAGGAAUUUGCUUUCCAUGAAGAGGAGAAGACCCCAAUUUGGUGUCUAAAUCAGCUCUGAUUUAUCAGCUUUGCAUGAUUCUUCCAUUAAAAAGAAGAAUAGCUCCGAUUUGUUGUCUAAAACCAAAGAAGGAUAACUCCGAUGUGAUUAGGUAUAGGUUAGGUUUAGGUGGUGGAGAUCGAGGUGGAAGUAGAAGUAGAGGUAGAGGUAGAGGUGGAGGUGAAAGGGGAAGAUAGAAGAGAUUUUUUUCCCCUAAUUUUUAAUUUAGGAUUCGUUUGCACUUUUUUUUCAAAAAAAAUAAAAAUUAAGACUACAAUUGCAAUUAGUUCUUUAUUUUUUUAUUAUUUUAUUUAAAUAAGAGAGUAUAUUCAUCAUUUCAUAACUUUUUAUUGAGAAAUUGGAUAAAAAUGGAUUAGAAUGAUGGUUUCUGCAGUAAAAAGUUGAAAUAGGGAUGGGAAAAAAAAAGUAGAAACGUUUUGCACAUUAAACUCCAUAUAUAGGGAUGUUUUGUGCUAAUAACCCAUAUAGAAUGGUUAUUCGUGUAGAGUCGAAAACCCAAAUCGACGUUCUUCUGUUUGUCCAAAGUUUGGUAGAUGUGGAAUACAACUACUAUAUAAGGUGUUAUGUACAAAUAUUCUAAUAAUUCGAGAAAGUUAGAAUUUGGAAUAAUUCAACUUUCAUGAUAUUAGAGCAAACAGAAAAUUACGAAAAUGAAAUAAUUUAGUUUGAAUAAUA